AGUGAACGCUGGCGGUAGGCCUAACACAUGCAAGUCGAACGGCAGCACAGUAAGAGCUUGCUCUUACGGGUGGCGAGUGGCGGACGGGUGAGGAAUACAUCGGAAUCUCCUUUUUCGUGGGGGAUAACGUAGGGACACUUACGCUAAUACCGCAUACGACCUACGGGUGAAAGCAGGGGAUCUUCGGACCUUGCGCGAUUGAAUGAGCCGAUGUCGGAUUAGCUGGUUGGCGGGGUAAAGGCCCACCAAGGCGACGAUCCGUAGCUGGUCUGAGAGGAUGAGGAGCGACACUGGAAGGGAGAGACGGUGCAGACUCCUAGGGGAGGCAGCAGUGGGGAAUAUUGCACAAUGGGCGCAAGCCUGAUGCAGCCAUGCCGCGUGGAUGAAGAAGGCCUUCGGGUUGUAAAGUACUUUCAGCGGGGAGGAAGGGAGUAAAGUUAAUACCUUUGCUCAUUGACGGUACCCGCAGAAGAAGCACCGGCUAACUCCGUG
This 492-nucleotide ribosomal RNA is filed under the name uncultured bacterium. RNAcentral's name for it is "partial 16S ribosomal RNA". It matches the Rfam family "Bacterial small subunit ribosomal RNA", at positions 29 to 507 of the family's 1533-position model. The record is from RNAcentral.